RNAcentral lists this ribosomal RNA (335 nucleotides) under uncultured bacterium. RNAcentral's name for it is "bacterial SSU rRNA". It matches the Rfam family "Bacterial small subunit ribosomal RNA", at positions 173 to 507 of the family's 1533-position model. The record is from RNAcentral.
AUAUAGACUUCUCCUGAAGUUUAUAUUAAACAUUUAUGGCUAUUAGAUGGGUAUGCGUCCUAUUAGUUAGUUGGUAAGGUAACGGCUUACCGAAGGCAGCGAUAGGUACGGGGUCCUGAGAGGGAGACUACCCCCACACUGGUACUGAGACACGGACCAGACUCCUACGGGAGGCAGCAGUGAGGAAUAUUGGACAAUGGGCGAGAGCCUGAUCCAGCCAUGCCGCGUGCAGGAAGACUGCCCUAUGGGUUGUAAACUGCUUUUACAGAGGAAGNAACCACCCCACGUGUGGGGGUUUGACGGUACUCUGCGAAUAAGGAUCGGCUAACUCCGUG